RNAcentral lists this microRNA precursor (77 nucleotides) under Culex quinquefasciatus (southern house mosquito). Its description in RNAcentral is "mir-2 microRNA precursor family". It matches the Rfam family "mir-2 microRNA precursor family". Rfam says of the family: The miRNAs are transcribed as ~70nt precursors (modelled here) and subsequently processed by the Dicer enzyme to give a ~22nt product. In this case the mature sequence comes from the 3' arm of the precursor. The record is from Rfam by way of RNAcentral. Lineage: Eukaryota; Metazoa; Arthropoda; Insecta; Diptera; Culicidae.
CAGUUCGUAAAAAUGGUUGUGCCGUGUGUACAUUUGAACAUUCAAUAUUCAUAUCACAGCCAUUUUGACGAGUUUGA